This 389-nucleotide long non-coding RNA is filed under the name Struthio camelus australis. RNAcentral's name for it is "lncRNA (ENSSCUG00000001082.1)". The record is from RNAcentral. Lineage: Eukaryota; Metazoa; Chordata; Aves; Struthioniformes; Struthionidae.
AUGGACCACAAGAGGGAGCAUUUUGUUCAGUUUAUUGGCAAAGACUAUUUUUCCCUAUGUGAAGCAGAGAGGAAAAACCCAGUUUCUGGAUCGGGAGUGUCGGCCACAGAACAUCUGCUGCAUUUCCUCCCAAGAAUGAAUUACACCACGAGUGGAUCCUCCAGUGAUACUAUAGCUGGAAUCAGCUGAGGGAGAUAGCACUAAAAGCCGUGCAACUUUCCACAGAGGAGAGAGAACGGAAGACAUCUCACUUCAUCAGCCAAAAAUCACUGCUUAUUAACUAACCUGAAGUGAAUUAGAACAACUGAUUUACUCAGAAUUUGACCGUCAUAGCAAGGGAAGAGUUUUUUUGCAAUAAAAAAAAUUCAGUCUUUUCUAAAAUGGUGCUU